Molecule: long non-coding RNA, 5415 nt
Organism: Ctenopharyngodon idella (grass carp)
Lineage: Eukaryota; Metazoa; Chordata; Actinopteri; Cypriniformes; Xenocyprididae
Exons: 7
Source: RefSeq, a predicted model, not a curated record
ACACACACACACACGCACACACACACACACACACUCAUAAACACACAAACACACACACACAAACACACACAAACACACACACACACACACUCAUACAGAGAGAGGUAGAUUUGAAUAGUUCCUAUAUGCACUCCCUUGAGUUACGCCCUUCCUGUUUGUUCCUGUCGCUGCUCUGAGGUUCUUGUUAGAGUUCAUCAGUCUCUCUCAAUGGCUCACAAACGGAGGAUCAAAAGUUGUAUUCUAAUGUGUGCAUGUCUGCUGGCGCUGCCGUCCGGACGGGACGCUCUCACCUGCUGCAGAAGAGAUUUCAGCAACGGAUCGACCUCCUGUCAGCUGAGUGACGCUCCUGAUCCCACCUGUGUCACAGAAUGGAUCGCUGACGGUGUAACGGUGGUGGACGAGACUGGAGAGACGGUUCUGACCAGAGUUCAGCAUGCAGAACCACAGACUCUCAUUCUGAAAGAGAGACACACCGAGAUUAAUUUCCAGAUGGAGUGUGCUGCACCGAAGAACCUUGUGAAACUGUCUUGUAAUGAUCUCUGUCCGUCUUCAGAUGAACUCGCCACGACUACAGAAUCGCAGCACACUAAUAACGCUGUAAACAAGAACACUAAUGACGGCGUCUUCAUCAUCCUGUCCAUCAUCAUCAUCAUCUUCACUGUCACCUAGGCCGUUUGAGUGUGUUUUGUGGUGAAGACUCUGGAUUCUGCGUCGCGGAGACCAAAACCAGAGAUCAACCACAAACAGAUCAUCUGACCGUCUGCUGUUGAUCUGCAUCAAUGCUUGACCAGCCUCAGUAAUUCAGGAGUAUCUUUGCUAAAGUUAUGAUAAACAGCACUGAUAUUAAUAGAGUUCAGUAGCUUGUGCUCAAAUAUUCAUCUGAUGCUUUUCAUUGCUUUCACUUUCUGAAAAUAUUAGAUUAUAAGAAAUAUUAUCAACAUACAAUAUUAUAUCAUACAUGAAACUAUAUAUUUUAAUGAAAAUAAAAUAUUAUUAUUUCUCAUUUAUAUUUAAAUGCAAUAUAACAUAUUAUGGUAACACUUUACAAGGUUCCAUCUGUUGACAUUAGUUAACAUGAACACUACUUCGACAGCAUUUAUUAAUGUUAAUUUCUACAUUGAGUUUUAUCUGUUAAUGUUAGUUAAAUGCACUGUGAACUAACAUGAACAAACAACGAACAGUUGUGUAUUAAGAACCAAUAACAAAUAUUAAAUAUAGCUGCAAGCAGCAAUUAUGGGGCCAAGCACAAAGAGCAUGAUAAACCAUGCCAACAUGGCUGAAAAAUCAUAAAUACAGUCAUUAGAAAUAUGAUUGAAAGGUUUAUUACAGUCGACCAAUAGGUGUUGCUGUGACCAAACUGAUGUGGUGUGGUCAGAGUAAAGUGACAACGAAACAUGCAAAGUUUGGUGUCAAUAGGGCAAAGCAGUGCAGAGAUACAGCUUCAGAGUCGUUUUGGCAUCAGGCCUCAAAUUUGUUGCUGCGCUUUACGAAAACAGUUUUGUCUAUUGACAGGAAAUCCAUAACUUUUUGCCGGCACGAUCUGAAGGUGAUCUGACUCAAAUUUGAUGAAAAUCAGACUAACGGUCUAGGAGGAGUUUGAAAAAGUAGGUUUUUAAAAUCAAAAUCAAAAUGGCGGACAGCAAGCUUGGCCAACUAUGGCAACAUUGGUAUGUGUGACAAUAGAUUAAAUUAAUCAGAAGCUAUCAGCAUUUUUUUUAAAUUUCAUUAUAACAUUUGACCACAAGGAGGCGCUGUCUCGAAACCUUUUGAGUACCUUCAGAGUAUGGUGCUGAUGGAACAUACUGAGUUCCGUAAUGGUACAUCGAUGCAUUUUAUAUCAUAAUACUGUAAUUGUAGUUAAUGGCAAUUUCAUAUUUUGUUCAAUUAUAGAGCCACCAAGUGACACAAUCCCACCACUUUUUUAUGUGUCCUCAAAGUGAGCCCAUACAUGUGUGUGUCAAAUUUGGUGAAAAUAUCUCAUUUCGUUUCGGAGUUAUAGACAAUUAUAUGUAUGAAAUCAUAAAAAUGACCCAUGGAUGACUUUGAUUGGAUUUGUUUGCUACUUGCUAUCAAAAUUUUGACAUUUGGGUAUUAACACUUAGUUAACGAACUAUGGAUCCAAAUUGGAUCCCAUGACCCAUACCAAGUUUCACAACGACAUGCUAAUGCGUUCAUAAAAUACAGCAUUUUAGCACAAAAUGCAAAAUGGCUGACAUGGAAAAAUUGGAUAUCAUUCGACUCGGCAUGUCACCCUGAAUCUAACAAGUUACAAACUAACAAACCAUUCAGGAGUUAUAAACAAAAAUAGCCUUAUUUUUUUUUUUUUGUAUCUCCGGACCAGUGGGUGGCGCUGUGCUGAAACGCAGCAUGUUGCCUCAGGUCAUGCUUGUGAUGACACGUACCAAGUUUAGUCUGAAUACGAUAAAGCGUUGCAGAGAUACAGCCUUAUGUCUAUUUUCGCAAACACAAGGUAAAAUUAGUUUGUGUGUAUUUUUGAAAACGGUUUAACAAAACAACUUGAAUUCCAAAACUUUUAGUCAACGUGAUCUGAAGAUGAUCUGGUUCAAUUUUUGUGAAAAUCAGAGCAACGGCCUAGGAAGUAUGUUUUUCGGAAAAUUCAAAAUGGCAGAAGAAUUUUGGAAGGGAAAAAAAUUUUGUUUCUAGCCCUUAUGGAUCAAAAAUUAUUAGCAUGAACGUGAGUGCAACUUUGGACAGCUGGUGGCGCUAGAGGGACUGAGUUAGAGACUCCAAUGGUGACAGUUCAGACCGUCCUCUAUCAGUGUGCCAAACUUCACAACUUUCCCGCCAGCGGUUCUCUGGGCUCCCAUAGACUUCCAGAGCGGAAGAAUAAUAAUAACAUCAGUGAUUAUAACAGGUGUCUACACACCUUCAGUGCUGGACCUGAAAUGCUGUAAUAGUAUAUUGUUCAUUGUUAGUUCAUGUUAACUAAUGCAUUCACAAAUAUUAACAACUGAGACCUUAUUGUAAAGUGUUAUUUUAUAAUAUUAUAUUGUUAUAUUAUUGUAGUAUUGAGUUAUAUUAUUAUAUUAUAUUAUAACUGACUAUUUGUAGUUUUUCAUUCAACAGAAACAGCUUCUUGAUAUUUUAAAUUUGAUUGAAUGCAAAAACUCAAACAUUAUGAAUAGGGAUGCACCGAUACCAUUUUUUAAGGACCGAGUAAGAGUACCGAUACUUUUUUCCUAGUACUCGCCGAUACCGAUAAUGAUGCCUAUACAUUUAUUAAUUUCUCUCUCUCACAACACAGUGAGACUAAUGAAUGUAGGACAGCUUCUUUAUUAUUACUCUAAUGAAAAAAGUAAUAAUUUUUAUGUGCUUGUCACAAACUUAAAGAACAAAAAUUUCACAGUGUCCAAUAACCUUCAAAGGGCAUAAUUACCAAUAUAUAUAAUUGUUGUUAUAUAAAAAUACAAUUACAUACAAAUUACAAACAAUACAACAAAUACUAUAGAGAUACAAAUUAAAUAAACUUGUUUUUCAGAUACAGUAGGUUUAUUUACCAUGUAUACAUUUAUUUAACAUAUUUUGUUGUUUUAUUAACAUUAAUGACAAAUAUAGGCUACGGUCCCUUUAAGACAGAAUCCAUGGAUACUGACACAUAUCCUGUUUUCAGCCAAAUGUUUACGUCCACUUAAGCCAUAACCGACUGUAUUUACGUGAGAUACUCCACACGAUGGACAUUUUGACAACUAUGUGUGCAUUUGACCAUUCAGGCACGAGGAGAACUGAUCGCGCGCUGUCUGAGAGAACUGGGAUCGAGAGAGCGCGCUUCUGGCCUGUGUCAUUCAGUGCGAUUCCGCCUAUCCCGCCUUCACUAAUCGAUAACGAGUUGUGAUUGAAAGCAUGCAGUUCGUAAUGUGUGUGUUGUCAUCAUUAAUUUUGAAGUAUUUCCACACCCCUGAGGCUGACAUUGUCUCUGCUGCUGCCGCCGGUGUUUCUCUGUGCGCGGGAAAUUCUGUCAGUCACGUCACGUGAGGUAUCGGUCUUUGGUAUCGGGGGUAUUUUUACGAGUACAAGUACAAGUACAUGAGCUUGGUAUCGGCCGAUAAUGAUACUGGUAUCGGUAUCGGUGCAUUCCUAAUUAUGAACAGUAAAUCAGGAUUUAAAUUUGUUUGUCUUUUUUUUUUUUUAUCCUGGUAAAAUCAUCAGGGGCCGCAUUCACAAAACAUUUGAUCUUACCACUAAGAGUUCUCCUAAAUGGCAGUAAAAGUUCUUAGUUGAGAGUUUUCUGUUAAAACCUAUUCACAAAUUUGCUGAGACAAACUUCUACUAAGGAAUAGACUGAAGUCUUAAGCUAAGAGUAAGGGCGGGGCUGACCUCGUUGCUAUGGAUGAUGACAAUUUUUAUUCUCCAUCAUUCAAUACAUUUUGCCUGUACAUAAAUGAAGCUUUAUGUUAUGCCAUCGUAGAUUAAAGUCUAUAAAUCAAAAUAUUUAUUGCAUUUAUGAAGGAAACGUUCAGAACUCAAGGCUGUAUCACUGUUUUCUCAAUAGUGUUCAGUGUCUUUGGGUGGAUUGCUGAGGCAGAUUGCCGGCAACAACCAUUUUAGGAUUGUUUGUGAUUUGGUAUUUUAGAAGUCCUCUUGACGACUCCUAAUGUUUCACAGGUUUAGGGGCGAGUUUUAGUGCUAAAAUGCUUUGUGUAAUACUCUUAGAGCAAAAUUGUAGGAGUCCUACAUUUAGGACUGACACCCGUUAUUUUUAUAUAAGAGUUUCUCCUAAAUUGGCAAGUUAGGAGCUACUUUAAGCCUUGAGAUGUUUUGUGAAUACGGCUCCUGUUGUUCUUGUUUUCUCUGUUAUUCUGUAGUUUAGUGUUUUACUCACAGGUUUAACUGCUGAUAGAGAUAGUGAUGCGAUUUCAUUUGAUAUUAAAAGUGUUGAUGAUAUAAAAGUAAAGUGUUUAUACAAAUUAAAAAAGUACAUAGAAUAAAUAUUCUGACUGAAACUCUCUGACUCUGUUGGAUUUUCUCUGCUUUAUUGUUACUUUCAUUUCCAUUUUUACUCUUAUGUAUUUGUUUCCUUUUCCUGUAAAGCACUUUGAAUUAUCAUUGUGUAUGAAAUGUGCUAUAUAAAUAAACUCGCCUUUCCUAAAAAUAAACUUGCCUAGAUCCCCAUUGUAAGGCAGUUUGUUCCCUCACUGAUUACAUUCACUCUAUUUUAGGUGACAUAGUUACAUUGUACUUGAAUAAGUACUGAGUAAUACUAAUUAAUACAAACUGCAUGUAAUUACUAUAAGGUUAGGGUUUGGUUCAGAUACCUGUAAUUAUGCAGAAUUUACUGUUAUUACCAGAAUAAGUACAUGUAAUAACGUGUAACAAUGUCACCUUAAAAUAAGUGUUACCUUUAUUUCUCCUGUGAGUUUUCUUCGGUGGAUUAAAUAAAGACUGUUUUGUUCUCUA